This 131-nucleotide small nucleolar RNA is filed under the name Jaculus jaculus (lesser Egyptian jerboa). Its description in RNAcentral is "Small nucleolar RNA SNORA63 (ENSJJAG00000008422.1)". Lineage: Eukaryota; Metazoa; Chordata; Mammalia; Rodentia; Dipodidae. The record is from RNAcentral.
GGGUGGGCCCAUUGUUCCAGGAUGGCUGUGAAGUGUUAUAUUGUCCUUUCCCACUGCCCUGAGCAAGUGUUUCCAACAACCUCAGUGUAGCUCAACUCUAUAGUCAGAAAGGGAUGCUUGGUCUCAAACAU